RNAcentral lists this ribosomal RNA (873 nucleotides) under Bacillus velezensis. RNAcentral describes it as "bacterial SSU rRNA". It matches the Rfam family "Bacterial small subunit ribosomal RNA", at positions 33 to 888 of the family's 1533-position model. The record is from RNAcentral. Lineage: Bacteria; Bacillati; Bacillota; Bacilli; Caryophanales; Bacillaceae.
GUGGGAGUGGCGGGUGCUAUACAUGCAGUCGAGCGGACAGAUGGGAGCUUGCUCCCUGAUGUUAGCGGCGGACGGGUGAGUAACACGUGGGUAACCUGCCUGUAAGACUGGGAUAACUCCGGGAAACCGGGGCUAAUACCGGAUGGUUGUCUGAACCGCAUGGUUCAGACAUAAAAGGUGGCUUCGGCUACCACUUACAGAUGGACCCGCGGCGCAUUAGCUAGUUGGUGAGGUAACGGCUCACCAAGGCGACGAUGCGUAGCCGACCUGAGAGGGUGAUCGGCCACACUGGGACUGAGACACGGCCCAGACUCCUACGGGAGGCAGCAGUAGGGAAUCUUCCGCAAUGGACGAAAGUCUGACGGAGCAACGCCGCGUGAGUGAUGAAGGUUUUCGGAUCGUAAAGCUCUGUUGUUAGGGAAGAACAAGUGCCGUUCAAAUAGGGCGGCACCUUGACGGUACCUAACCAGAAAGCCACGGCUAACUACGUGCCAGCAGCCGCGGUAAUACGUAGGUGGCAAGCGUUGUCCGGAAUUAUUGGGCGUAAAGGGCUCGCAGGCGGUUUCUUAAGUCUGAUGUGAAAGCCCCCGGCUCAACCGGGGAGGGUCAUUGGAAACUGGGGAACUUGAGUGCAGAAGAGGAGAGUGGAAUUCCACGUGUAGCGGUGAAAUGCGUAGAGAUGUGGAGGAACACCAGUGGCGAAGGCGACUCUCUGGUCUGUAACUGACGCUGAGGAGCGAAAGCGUGCGGAGCGAACAGGAUUAGAUACCCUGGUAGUCCACGCCGUAAACGAUGAGUGCUAAGUGUUAGGGGGUUUCCGCCCCUUAGUGCUGCAGCUAACGCAUUAAGCACUCCGCCUGGGGAGUACGGUCG